CCAAACUUGGUCAUUUAGAGGAAGUAAAAGUCGUAACAAGGUUUCCGUAGGUGAACCUGCGGAAGGAUCAUUACAGAGUUAGGGUCUACUCAGGCCCGACCUCCCAACCCUUUGUUUACUAAACUACAUGUUGCUUCGGCGAGCCCGUCCUUACCGGGACCGCCGGAGGACCGCCGAGAGGCGUCCUCUGGCCCGCGCUCGCCGAUGGCCCAACCAUUGAAACUCUUGGAAUCAUGCUUUGAAUUGUCUGAGUUACAUGUUUUAAAUUAAAAGCAAAACUUUCAACAACGGAUCUCUUGGUUCUGGCAUCGAUGAAGAACGCAGC
This 325-nucleotide unclassified non-coding RNA is filed under the name uncultured fungus. Its description in RNAcentral is "partial contains small subunit ribosomal RNA, internal transcribed spacer 1, and 5.8S ribosomal RNA". The stretch from base 1 to 73 matches the Rfam family "Eukaryotic small subunit ribosomal RNA", at positions 1759 to 1831 of the family's 1831-position model. The record is from RNAcentral. Lineage: Eukaryota; Fungi.